This 497-nucleotide ribosomal RNA is filed under the name uncultured bacterium. RNAcentral's name for it is "partial 16S ribosomal RNA". It matches the Rfam family "Bacterial small subunit ribosomal RNA", at positions 28 to 507 of the family's 1533-position model. The record is from RNAcentral.
GAUGAACGCUGGCGGCGUGCCUAAUACAUGCAAGUCGAGCGAACAGACGAGGAGCUUGCUCCUUCGACGUUAGCGGCGGACGGGUGAGUAACACGUAGGUAACCUACCUAUAAGACUGGGAUAACUUCGGGAAACCGGAGCUAAUACCGGAUAAUAUUUCGAACCGCAUGGUUCGAUAGUGAAAGAUGGCUUUGCUAUCACUUAUAGAUGGACCUGCGCCGUAUUAGCUAGUUGGUAAGGUAACGGCUUACCAAGGCAACGAUACGUAGCCGACUUGAGAGGGUGAUCGGCCACACUGGAACUGAGACACGGUCCAGACUCCUACGGGAGGCAGCAGUAGGGAAUCUUCCGCAAUGGGCGAAAGCCUGACGGAGCAACGCCGCGUGAGUGAUGAAGGUCUUCGGAUCGUAAAACUCUGUUAUUAGGGAAGAACAAACGUGUAAGUAACUGUGCACGUCUUGACGGUACCUAAUCAGAAAGCCACGGCUAACUACGUG